CUGUAAUCUCAGGACCAUCAGCAUCACCUAGGAACUUGUCAGAAGUGCCAACGCCCAGGCUCAACCCCAGACCUAUGGAAUCAAAAUUGACGCCACACUGAAUCUGGAGUUGAAGGGGUGCGCCUGCGCAAGGCUCCGCUAUUUGCUCUCUGUCAGCGACUUCACAGGUGGCCUUGGCCCCUAAAAGCCAGUCAUCAAAAGAUCAUGAUCAAAGAGAACCCUUCACACAGUGUGGACCACCUGCCUAGAAAACGCCUCUGUCAGCAUCCUCCCCCUUCCAUUUCCAAUGUCCAGAGUUUCACAUAAUUUCUGUUCUUCUCUCUGAUGCAAGCUCCAGGCAGCCGUCUGUGUUAUUAGAUUUAAGUAUCCAGGUCAACAGCAUCCAUCGCCAGCCCACCGCUCAGCUGGGAGGGCUGUAGCCGAGGCUUCUCGACGCUCGCUGUUUUCAUUUCAGCUUGUGUCUUCCUCCUUCACACAGCAGAGGCGUUCAGCAUCCGGAGGGAGAGGCAGCUGAGAGCAUGAAGCAGGGUUAUCAUGAAACCAAAGCCUAAAUGUGCGCGCUCACCAGGCCUGGCACGGACUCAUCCCCUCCUGGGCCACUGUGUGCCCGGACAGGACGACGCCUGCUU
Molecule: long non-coding RNA, 629 nt
Filed under: Equus caballus (horse)
Lineage: Eukaryota; Metazoa; Chordata; Mammalia; Perissodactyla; Equidae
Description: lncRNA (ENSECAG00000041967.2)
Source: RNAcentral